GGUGUGGCUCAGUUUGGUAGAGCACCUGGUUUGGGACCAGGGGGUCGCAGGUUCGAAUCCUGUCACC
Molecule: transfer RNA, 67 nt
Filed under: pig gut metagenome
Rfam family: tRNA
About the family: Transfer RNA (tRNA) molecules are approximately 80 nucleotides in length. Their secondary structure includes four short double-helical elements and three loops (D, anti-codon, and T loops).
Source: RNAcentral